UCCGUAGGGUGCGAGCGUUACUCGGAAUUACUGGGCGUAAAGCGUGCGCAGGCGGUGAUGUAAGUCAGAUGUGAAAUCCCCGGGCUCAACCUGGGAACUGCAUUUGUGACUGCAUCGCUGGAGUGCGGCAGAGGGGGAUGGAAUUCCGCGUGUAGCAGUGAAAUGCGUAGAUAUGCGGAGGAACACCGAUGGCGAAGGCAAUCCCCUGGGCCUGCACUGACGCUCAUGCACGAAAGCGUGGGGAGCAAACAGG
Molecule: ribosomal RNA, 253 nt
Filed under: uncultured bacterium
Lineage: Bacteria
Description: partial 16S ribosomal RNA
Rfam family: Bacterial small subunit ribosomal RNA
Source: RNAcentral